AAGUCGUAACAAGGUCUCCGUAGGUGAACCUGCGGAGGGAUCAUUACCGAGUGAGGGUGCCCCGCCAGGCCGCCGACCUCCCGACCCUUUGUUUUGACCUAACACCUCAGUUGCCUCGGGGGUGACCCGGCCCUCGGCCGGGGUCCGGGGCCCCCGCUGGACCGACCACACUCAACGCUGCAUCUCUGCGUCGGAGUCAUUGAAGCGAAUUCAAUCAAAAG
RNAcentral lists this unclassified non-coding RNA (221 nucleotides) under plant metagenome. RNAcentral's name for it is "partial contains small subunit ribosomal RNA and internal transcribed spacer 1". The stretch from base 1 to 46 matches the Rfam family "Eukaryotic small subunit ribosomal RNA", at positions 1786 to 1831 of the family's 1831-position model. The record is from RNAcentral.